RNAcentral lists this ribosomal RNA (199 nucleotides) under unidentified. RNAcentral describes it as "partial 16S ribosomal RNA". It matches the Rfam family "Bacterial small subunit ribosomal RNA", at positions 279 to 475 of the family's 1533-position model. The record is from RNAcentral.
UUCCGUAGCUGGUCUAAUGUCGAAUGCAGCCNCACUGGGAACUGAUACACGGNNNAGACAUCCUACGGGAGGCAGNAGUGGGGAAUCUUGCACAAUGGGGNAAACCNUGAUGCAGCCAUGCCGNGUGGAGGAAGACACCCUAUGGGGNGUAAACUCCUUUUCUGAGAGAAGAAACCUCUGUAGGUUCAGAGUGUGACGG